Molecule: unclassified non-coding RNA, 363 nt
Filed under: uncultured fungus
Lineage: Eukaryota; Fungi
Description: partial contains 5.8S ribosomal RNA and internal transcribed spacer 2
Rfam family: 5.8S ribosomal RNA (bases 1-134)
Source: RNAcentral
UGGCUCUCGCAUCGAUGAAGAACGCAGCGAAAUGCGAUAAGUAAUGUGAAUUGCAGAUUUUCAGUGAAUCAUCGAAUCUUUGAACGCACCUUGCGCCCCUUGGUAUUCCGAGGGGCAUGCCUGUUUGAGUGUCAUUAAAUCCUCAACCGCGCCGAUUGAUUUUCGGUGGGGCUUGGACUUUGGAGCGUGCUGGCGAAGGUCGGCUCCUCUUUAAAUGCAUCAGCGGAAGAAACCUUUGUCUUUCCCGCCUUCGGUGUGAUAAUCGCGUUGCGCCGUGGUGGAACUUCAACGAUCCGCUUACAAUGGUCUUCGGACGAAACCUCAUGUCAUCUUGACCUCAAAUCAGGUAGGACUACCCGCUGA